RNAcentral lists this ribosomal RNA (326 nucleotides) under uncultured type I methanotroph. RNAcentral's name for it is "bacterial SSU rRNA". It matches the Rfam family "Bacterial small subunit ribosomal RNA", at positions 365 to 707 of the family's 1533-position model. The record is from RNAcentral. Lineage: Bacteria; Pseudomonadati; Pseudomonadota; Gammaproteobacteria; Methylococcales; Methylococcaceae.
GGGGCAUGCUGGCGCAGCCUGACCAGCGACGCCGCGUGGAGGACGAAGGGCUUCGGCUCGUAAACUCCUUUUCCCGUGGACGAGACAAGGACGGUACACGGGGAAUAAGUCUCGGCUAACUACGUGCCAGCAGCCGCGGUAAAACGUAGGAGGCGAGCGUUAUCCGGAAUCACUGGGCGUAAAGGGCGUCUAGGCGGCACGAUAAGCGAGGUGUGAAAGCUCCUGGCUCAACCAGGAGAGUGCGCUUCGGACUGUCGAGCUUGGAGGGCAGGUGAAGGGGGUGGAAUUCCCGGUGGAGUGGUGGAAUGCGUAGAGAUCGGAAGAAC